This 400-nucleotide ribosomal RNA is filed under the name uncultured bacterium. RNAcentral's name for it is "bacterial SSU rRNA". It matches the Rfam family "Bacterial small subunit ribosomal RNA", at positions 355 to 746 of the family's 1533-position model. The record is from RNAcentral.
UGGAGAAUAUUGGACAAUGGGCGCAAGCCUGAUCCAGCCAUGCCGCGUGUGUGAAGAAGGCCUUAUGGUUGUAAAGCACUUUAAGCGAGGAGGAGGCUACUUUAGUUAAUACCUAGAGAUAGUGGACGUUACUCGCAGAAUAAGCACCGGCUAACUCUGUGCCAGCAGCCGCGGUAAUACAGAGGGUGCAAGCGUUAAUCGGAUUUACUGGGCGUAAAGCGCGCGUAGGCGGCUAAUUAAGUCAAAUGUGAAAUCCCCGAGCUUAACUUGGGAAUUGCAUUCGAUACUGGUUAGCUAGAGUGUGGGAGAGGAUGGUAGAAUUCCAGGUGUAGCGGUGAAAUGCGUAGAGAUCUGGAGGAAUACCGAUGGCGAAGGCAGCCAUCUGGCCUAACACUGACGC